CGGAGGAUCCAAGCGUUAUCCGGAAUCAUUGGGUUUAAAGGGUCCGUAGGCGGGUUUAUAAGUCAGUGGUGAAAGCCCAUCGCUCAACGAUGGACGGCCAUUGAUACUGUAGAUCUUGAAUUAUUAGGAAGUAACUAGAAUAUGUAGUGUAGCGGUGAAAUGCUUAGAGAUUACAUGGAAUACCAAUUGCGAAGGCAGGUUACUACUAAUGGAUUGACGCUGAUGGACGAAAGCGUGGGUAGCAAACAGGAUUAGAUACCCUGGUAGUCCACGCCGUAAACGAUGGAUACUAGCUGUUCGGAGCAAUCUGAGUGGCUAAGCGAAAGUGAUAAGUAUCCCACCUGGGGAGUACGUUCGCAAGAAUG
RNAcentral lists this ribosomal RNA (365 nucleotides) under uncultured organism. RNAcentral describes it as "bacterial SSU rRNA". It matches the Rfam family "Bacterial small subunit ribosomal RNA", at positions 526 to 896 of the family's 1533-position model. The record is from RNAcentral.